Molecule: ribosomal RNA, 870 nt
Filed under: uncultured bacterium
Lineage: Bacteria
Description: bacterial SSU rRNA
Rfam family: Bacterial small subunit ribosomal RNA
Source: RNAcentral
GAUGAACGCUAGCGGGAGGCCUAACACGUGCAAGUCGAACGGGAUUGGGAGCUUGCUCCCAUGAGAGUGGCGCACGGGUGAGUAACGCGUAUGCAACCUACCUUUAACUGAGGGAUAGCCCAUAGAAAUGUGGAUUAAUACCUCAUAGUUCUUUUGGUCCGCAUGGACUGAUAGAUAAAGCUCCGGCGGUUAAAGAUGGGCAUGCGUGACAUUAGCUAGUUGGUAAGGUAACGGCUUACCAAGGCUACGAUGUCUAGGGGUUCUGAGAGGAUGAUCCCCCACACUGGUACUGAGACACGGACCAGACUCCUACGGGAGGCAGCAGUGAGGAAUAUUGGUCAAUGGGCGCAAGCCUGAACCAGCCAUCCCGCGUGAAGGAUGAAGGUCCUAUGGAUUGUAAACUUCUUUUAUACACCAAGAAAAACUCCCACGUGUGGGAGCCCGACGGUAGUGUAUGAAUAAGCAUCGGCUAACUCCGUGCCAGCAGCCGCGGUAAUACGGAGGAUGCAAGCGUUAUCCGGAUUCAUUGGGUUUAAAGGGUGCGUAGGCGGCUUUUUAAGUCAGUGGUGAAAUCUUGCCGCUUAACGGUAAAAUUGCCAUUGAUACUGAAAAGCUUGAGUACAUUUGAGGUAAGCGGAAUGUGUAGUGUAGCGGUGAAAUGCUUAGAUAUUACACAGAACACCGAUUGCGAAGGCAGCUUACUAAACUGUAACUGACGCUGAUGCACGAAAGCGUGGGGAGCGAACAGGAUUAGAUACCCUGGUAGUCCACGCCGUAAACGAUGUUCACUCGCUGUUUGCGAUACACAGCGAGCGGCCAAGCGAAAGCAUUAAGUGAACCACCUGGGGAGUACGAUCGCAAGGUUGAAAC